This 3006-nucleotide long non-coding RNA is filed under the name Eutrema salsugineum. RNAcentral's name for it is "long non-coding RNA (ESAL_LNC000199)". The record is from RNAcentral. Lineage: Eukaryota; Viridiplantae; Streptophyta; Magnoliopsida; Brassicales; Brassicaceae.
CCCUUCUUCACCAAGCUUACGAGCUAAAGAGAUAAGCUAUUCCCACCUUCAUCUGAACAAAUAAGCCAACAGAUGACUAGAUGAUGCGGCUAAAGAUCAAAUUAACCAAAUCAUGAAAAUGUAAACAAAGGACAUGUUCCAACAAAAACCAAUGUUCAAAUAAUCUGCAAAGUAGAUCAUCCGAAAAAUGCAAAAAAGAUGACAUGUUACAACCAAAACCAGUGUUCAAAAGAUGAUUCUAGAAAACGCAAACAAAGGACAUGUUCCAACCAAAACCUGUGUUCAAAUGACAAUUCUAGAAAAUGCAAACAUAGGACAUUUUCCAACCAAAACCAGUGUUCAAAUGAAAAUUCCAUAUUUGCUCUCUACCUUCUACGUCUCAGAAGAGUUGGGUCCUCUCAUCAAUCCAAAACCAACAACUGCACAAAUCCAUGCAUGAGACAAUAUUUACUAACAUGUAGACGUUAAAAAUCAGACAUUGUAAUAAAUCUACAAACAAGAUAUUACAAUAAUUAACGAGGACAGGAUAUGAUUCCCAAAAGCAGUAAGAAAAAUUGAAACAACCAUGAAGUUAUAAUCAAAGCCCUAUAUAGAUAGAGAGCAUGACUACAGUAAACUUGAAUUACUUUAUCAUACUAGGAAAUUACUUAUAAGUACUUGGAGGGAACUGAACAGAAACACAAGGUAAACCAAAAGCUUCAUCAUUUUCCCUGAUAAAUAUAUGCUGCAGAUAUGGUUUGCGAAGAUUUGAAAAUUGUGGUUUGAUAUGAUUUUACUUUAUAGAUCAUCUUUUUUCACUCAUAGAAAAAUCUCUCAACCGUUUGUUUGAAAAACACCCAGACAUUGCAUCAAUGUUAUGUAUAAAGAUCCAACUUCUGAAGACAACGUCAAAGCAUAUCCUACUCAGCUGGACUGAGACUUUGCGCAUGUCGCCUAAAAUCUCCAAGGAUGAUCUGUUUGAUGGAGAAAUUACUCUGGCAUACAUGACAAAUGUAGGGUUUAGGUUGGAUUGGUUGGAGAAGAAAUUUGGCGAAGUAAAAGAAAAUAUGGCGAAAGAGAAAGCUGGUGAGAUCUGGAUACUGAAGAAAAGUUAAAGGAUUUGAAGCAGAAGAGCUCAAACCUUGAAGCUCAGAUGGAGAAGGAGAGGGCAGGGGUUUUGGCUGCCAGAGCUCCUCUAUUGUUGUCUGAUGAGGAUAUUGUGUGAUGAAUUAAGUUCUUAGGACUUGGAUUUAGGUUCUGCUAGUGCUGUUUCGUACUUUGAAGACUCUCCAUUCAAAGGGUUAACUGAGUUUCUUGAUGGAAAAGUAAUGGCUUGGUUUUCGAAGAGAGUAGUCUAUGAAUAGUUGCGGCCAAACAUGUAUGGAUGCUUCUUGGUUAUUAUGUUUGGCGUUUUGCAAUUUUGCAUGAUUGAUUUUUUUGAUCAAUUCCUCCAAAUUUUUGUGUAUUAGAAUAUUAAAAUGAAAGGAUAUAUGUUGAAGAUAGGUUAUGAAGGAGCGAAGAAGAAGAAUUAUGAAGGAGCGAAGAAGAAGAAAGGAAAAUUGUGAUUUAACCACACAAAUUUAUUUAAUAAAAUAGCCACACUUUCCGAUAUCAUUUGCUGGACAUUUCUUUUAGUUUUUCUUUUAGUGUGUUUGUACGUGAUUAACCAUUUUAAGGUUUAGUGAGAACAGAACUAUCUUUCAGUAUAAACUUCCCAGAAAAUCCUAUCAGUUAUUAGAACUAACUAUUGUCAAACAUGAUAUUGUACUGUGUUUUAUCCAACCUCCAAAAUACAAACACACUCGAUUAAAGAAAAAAAUUAUACUAGUUACGAACAAUCUAGAUCACUAUAUCGGCUAAUAUUCUGGUGCAGCCAUUUUGACUCUGUUAGACAAUUAUUCUCCAAAAAUAUUCCAAAAUUCAAACCUUAUAGAAUUCUAUAAACUAAUGAGAGAAAAAAACUAUUAUAGUAUGAUUUUCUUCAAAUUCCAUUUCUUUGGGUGUUCUCUUGCACUCUUAAACUUUCAUUUAAUCAAAACUCCCAAUGAUUAGGGAAAAAAAAAAUCUAAUAUAAUGUUGGGAAAAACUCAUGUAAUAAUUUCCUCAAACCUUUACCCUUAAAACAUCACUAAUUGGAUAAAACCCCAAUAUCAAUUUAUUCAGACCUUAGACUAAGACAUUACACCAAACAUUUGAAACAACUCAUUUUUUCCCCUAACAAAAAAAAAAUUGUUUGUACUACUUGAAGCUGCAGAAGAAAAAGAAGAAGAAUUCAAGCAAUUUCCUAACAUUUUCUACCAUUGAUAUUGGACGAGAUCGAGAAUUAUCUGGCAUCGGAUUUGAAUACUUCAGAUGUUGGUGAAAGAAAAUCCAUAACAGCGAAGUAUGAUUUCUCUUUGUACGAAAUUAGGAACACAUGUGUAUGGAUCUCUAUCAGUACAAUAGUACAAUUAACAUAUCAAUACGGAAGGAAACAUCAAUAUAGUCCAUGUUGAAACGACGUAAAAGGUGUAAAAUUAAAAACGCAAACAUAAAAUUACUUAUUAGAAAACCAAAAAAAAAUCCAAACAGAAAGUAUCAAAAGAAGAACAACCAAUCAUAUAGUCAUGUAAAUUUCCAUCUGACUCGAUCAAUCUUGCAAAGAAAUAAAAGUUUCUUAGAAACAAAUGAAUAUUUUAUAAAAAGAGAUGAAGAUCGGACCGUAAUGCUUACAUUCCCCAGAAGAGAAGAGAUGAGAUGGGGUUUAGAUUCAGAUUCAGACAAGAAUACUUCUCGAUGUAACCCUUUUUUUUCUUCUUCUCAAAAACACAUCAAGUUCCCACUAUCAUGGAUCGAUAAUCCUGUGAGGGGGUUGCUUGUUUUUUUUUCUUACUUUCUUGAACAUGAUCAACAACAAGACCUGGAUCUUCAUUGUGUUUGUUCUCAAACUCACUCCAAACUUCUUCUUGUUCUUUUGAUGAGACUUGUUUGGUGGAAGUUUGGUGGUGUUGAUGAUGAUGAGAGAGUGAGAGUGAGAGGAAAUUAUAG